AGUCACAUUCAGUUGGCAUAAAUUCAACGAAUUCAGCUUUAAAAUUGCAAUAAUGAACAAUAAAAUAAAGUCCAUUUUCUCCACGAAGCCCCAUAUAAAAGAAUAUAAUAUGAAAUGAUCAAGAUCAAGAAGAAUAUGAUCACCUAAGGAUUGUGUCCAUCUUUCUGGGAUACAGGCGGGACAGGUCUGCGGGAAUUUAAGAGGACAGCGCCACCGUCUUCCAAGUAUAGGUCUCUGCAGGAAAUUAAUGGGAGUUUCCAAAUCGGGGUGUUUUUAGACCAUUUUUAGACCCAUCGGUGGGUUUAGGGGUGGGGUGAGGUAAGGGGGAUAAUUUUUAUUGCAUGAUUGAGAAACACCUUGCAGUUUGAAAACACCCACAAAUUCAGAAACGCCCACUUUUGCUCUGCAGAGACCUCAAUCUCCCGUCUUCACUAGCCUCGUUAAAACCGGAUGUAAGUAAAGCGGCGGAAUCUACUUACGGCGCUCGCUAUUGCUAGGCGACAGGCUUUUUGCGUGACCCGAUUCGAGCACCAUACAGGGUCGCCUCGUCAUUGUAGCGGCUCCCUCUUCGCUCACAUCUUCCUCUCCUCUGCAUCCCUCCACACACAUUCCAGGUAGCCAGACGACCUAGAAAAUGUCUUACGCGGGGAAUGCGCUGGUGAUAUUAUUCGGAGUCUUGAUGCUGCAUUCGGGCUCCGCUCAGAACGAUUUGGAGAAAUUGAGCAUUGCAUCACUUGCUUACCAAUGGAUCCUCUGCAGCGAAUGGGUGCCGUCAGAACGAGAGUUUUAAAAGCAACGAAAACAAUGUUUUGAAGUUAAAAAUGUCUUAUUGAUGGAUUUGUUUAUUACAAACAUGCAGCUUUUUCUUCACAAGACAUUAAUUGAUGGACUGGAGUCGUGUGGAUUAUAGAGUGCUGCAGCCGUGACAGCAAAACCCAUUCCCCAUUUGUGAGGGGCCACAAACUCAUAUGAAGAUCAAACCCAACACUUUUCCUUUCAUCUCACUCACAUGCAUUUUAUCUCUUCCAUACAAAUGCAUGAGCACACGCAGACACAUUUGAUCAAAUGGAUCAUUUUGGCAUAGCUGUCUUUGGUUACAGGGAUAAGAGCACAACAGCACUUGCUGCCUUUAGGCUAACAAGGUUUUUGCUUCUAUCUUUAGCAAGUGACUGUAUGCAAUAGCAAACAUACCCUGUCCACAUAUGUUCAUUAGUUCCUCAAUCUUAGAUUCACUUACACUGAUGGAGACAAUAAAAUGAUAAAAAAAAAAAAAAAUUAUUGUUCC
Molecule: long non-coding RNA, 1285 nt
Organism: Cyprinus carpio (common carp)
Lineage: Eukaryota; Metazoa; Chordata; Actinopteri; Cypriniformes; Cyprinidae
Source: Ensembl